GAGAAGGUACGCAUAAUUGGUAAUGCAGCCGGCUGUAAACCGGUCGAAUAUUAUUCACUGUAGGUUCAAGUCCUGCCCGUCUCA
This 84-nucleotide transfer RNA is filed under the name Sphingobacteriaceae bacterium. RNAcentral's name for it is "tRNA-Tyr". It matches the Rfam family "tRNA". From Rfam's summary of the family: Transfer RNA (tRNA) molecules are approximately 80 nucleotides in length. Their secondary structure includes four short double-helical elements and three loops (D, anti-codon, and T loops). Further hydrogen bonds mediate the characteristic L-shaped molecular structure. tRNAs have two regions of fundamental functional importance: the anti-codon, which is responsible for specific mRNA codon recognition, and the 3' end, to which the tRNAs corresponding amino acid is attached (by aminoacyl-tRNA synthetases). tRNAs cope with the degeneracy of the genetic code in two manners: having more than one tRNA (with a specific anti-codon) for a particular amino acid; and 'wobble' base-pairing, i.e. permitting non-standard base-pairing at the 3rd anti-codon position. Lineage: Bacteria; Pseudomonadati; Bacteroidota; Sphingobacteriia; Sphingobacteriales; Sphingobacteriaceae. The record is from RNAcentral.